GUGACGUCAGAAGCUACCACGCCCAUGCCCAAAUUCAUGCAACACAUUCUCGUUAACAUUUAAAAACAGGAAGAACUAUCGAGAAGAGAAGACUAGAAGACGAAGGCAAUCAUAAAUGCCCUGGCUGUCUCCUGGCUGGGAUAUCUCCUCACAGGAGGCUGAGCAGGUCUUCCUUUCUGGUCUGGAUUAUCAUUGCAGAGUUGAAGCCAUUCCUGCAGCAACUGGUGGAAAACGGGGGAUCUUUUUGGUGCUUUUGUUCUAGCAUAAAUAAUUUUGUUCUUUCGUAUAAUAUAAAUGAAUACAUAUGUAUAUAUAAAUAAAUUCAUGCUUGAAUCAUUCGCAAGUUUUGCCUUCUGAUAUUCUGGCCAUAUCAUUUAGUGACUGCAUGUGCUGAUUCCAUCGUUAUUUUAUCUGAUAAUGAGCAAAUUAGUUAAACUUAAGUAGGUUAAUCAAUAUACAGUAUAAUUCAAGAAACUAGGGCUCACACCACUUUUCAGUUGAAUAAGAUUGAUAUACAUUUUUAAUUUGUUUUGUAUGAAUUUACAUUUUUGUAAAUGUCUCUGAUGC
Molecule: long non-coding RNA, 567 nt
Organism: Pimephales promelas (fathead minnow)
Lineage: Eukaryota; Metazoa; Chordata; Actinopteri; Cypriniformes; Leuciscidae
Source: RefSeq, a predicted model, not a curated record